GCCCAUAUGAAGACACAGGAUGGAGAAAUUGGCUUUCUGCUGCCACAGGCCAGAGAAUGCCUGGGGCCACCAGAAGUUUGAAGAAGCAAAGAAGGAUUCUCCCCUACAGACUUCAGAAGGAGCACGGCCUGCUGAUAACUGUAGACCUCCAGCCUCCAGAACUGGUUCUGUUCUAUGUCAUUUCCUUUGAAGUCAGUGGGAACUCUGUGCAGGACGGCAACAUGAACACCGGCCUCUAUACAUGAAGGCCAUCAAGUGGUUAACAUAUAGACAGUAUUUAAAUCCUUGGGACUGGAUGAGAUUACCAAGGGAGGAAAUGUAGAUGAAGGAGAAGAGAAAGGAUGGAGUUCUGGAGCACUACAAAUUUAAGAGACUGGGGAGAAGAGGAGAAACCCAGAAAAUCUACCUUGGAGAUCACUGCGUAAUACUACACUGGGAGCAGUAUCAUUCUUUGAAAUAAUAAUUAUAAUGUAAUAUAAUAGUUAUAAACUAUUCCAGUGUGUGAACAUGCCCUUUAUUCAAGCAGUUCUCUACCAGUAGCUUCUUAACUGGUCUUCCUGCUCUCAGUUUAUCCUUACUCCAAUCCUUUGUAAAUACUGCUUAUGCUAACCUUGGAUUAAUCUUAGUUAUUUAUGCCUGCAUGAAAAAUGG
Molecule: long non-coding RNA, 651 nt
Filed under: Homo sapiens (human)
Lineage: Eukaryota; Metazoa; Chordata; Mammalia; Primates; Hominidae
Description: HSALNT0369033
Source: RNAcentral